GGCGCUAUAGCCAAGUGGUUACGGCGACAGAUUAGAAUCAACAUAUUCAUCUGUUCCUCUUUGAGGGCGCAGGUUCAAAUCCUGCUGGCGUCG
Lyophyllum atratum is the source of this 93-nucleotide non-coding RNA. The record is from the annotation of a GenBank genome assembly. Lineage: Eukaryota; Fungi; Basidiomycota; Agaricomycetes; Agaricales; Lyophyllaceae.